UUGAAAGGGAAACGAUUGAAGUCAGUCGUGCUGGCAUGAAAUCAACUGUUGCAUUAGCAAGUUGUUGGCGGGUGAGCCUAAAAACCAUCGCGUCGACAUUUUUGCGCGUGCAGUGGUGCACUUUUUUGUCAGCUGGUUAGCAUCAAUUUCGACCGUCAUAAAAAGGCUGGGGGGAUGUGGCUCCUUCGGGAGUGUUAUAACCCUUAGCGGAAUGUGGUGGACGAGAUUGAGGAUUGCAACGGGUGCUGCUUUACCUGGCCUCUCGCUUGCGUCUCGGCGGCGACAGCUUGCUGACAACGUUGGGAACCGCAGUCGAAAAGGUUAGAGUGGACCGCUUCCAAGCGGAUCUGACCCAUUAAGGAUGUUGACGUA
RNAcentral lists this ribosomal RNA (372 nucleotides) under uncultured Glomeromycotina. RNAcentral's name for it is "LSU rRNA". Lineage: Eukaryota; Fungi; Glomeromycota. The record is from RNAcentral.